GGGGCCGUAGCUCAGCUGGGAGAGCGUCGCGUUCGCAAUGCGAAGGUCACCGGUUCGAUCCCGGUCGGCUCCACCA
Molecule: transfer RNA, 76 nt
Filed under: Candidatus Zixiibacteriota bacterium
Lineage: Bacteria; Pseudomonadati; Candidatus Zixiibacteriota
Description: candidate division Zixibacteria bacterium tRNA-Ala
Rfam family: tRNA
About the family: Transfer RNA (tRNA) molecules are approximately 80 nucleotides in length. Their secondary structure includes four short double-helical elements and three loops (D, anti-codon, and T loops).
Source: RNAcentral